CCUACGGGAAGCAGCAGUGAGGAAUAUUGGUCAAUGGGCGUAAGCCUGAACCAGCCAAGUCGCGUGAGGGAUGAAGGUUCUAUGGAUCGUAAACCUCUUUUAUAAGGGAAUAAAGUGCGGGACGUGUCCCUUUUUGUAUGUACCUUAUGAAUACGGAUCGGCUAACUCCGUGCCAGCAGCCGCGGUAAUACGGAGGAUCCGAGCGUUAUCCGGAUUUAUUGGGUUUAAAGGGUGCGUAGGCGGCCUUUUAAGUCAGCGGUGAAAGUCGGUGGCUCAACCAUAGAAGUGCCGUUGAAACUGGGAGGCUUGAGUAUGUUUGAGGCAGGCGGAAUGCGUGGUGUAGCGGUGAAAUGCUUAGAUAUCACGCAGAACCCCGAUUGCGAAGGCAGCCUGCCAAGCCAUGACUGACGCUGAUGCACGAAAGCGUGGGGAUCAAACAGGAUUAGAUACCCUGGUAGUC
Molecule: ribosomal RNA, 460 nt
Filed under: uncultured bacterium
Lineage: Bacteria
Description: partial 16S ribosomal RNA
Rfam family: Bacterial small subunit ribosomal RNA
Source: RNAcentral